AGUUUCAGCCGAAGGCUGAUAGAGCAUUUGAUUUACAUUCAAAAGGGCGACAGGUUCGACUCCUGCACUGUCCA
RNAcentral lists this transfer RNA (74 nucleotides) under Candidatus Omnitrophota bacterium. RNAcentral describes it as "tRNA-Val". Lineage: Bacteria; Pseudomonadati; Candidatus Omnitrophota. The record is from RNAcentral.